CCUGCCUUAUAGUGGGGGAGUAGCCUUUCGAAAGGAAGAAUUAAUACCGCAUAAAAUUGUAGUAUCGCAUGAUAUAGCAAUUAAAGGAGCAAUUCGCUAUAAGAUGGACCCGCGUCGCAUUAGCUAGUUGGUGAGGUAAUGGCUCACCAAGGCGACGAUGCGUAGCCGACCUGAGAGGGUGAUCGGCCACAUUGGGACUGAGACACGGCCCAGACUCCUACGGGAGGCAGCAUG
This 234-nucleotide ribosomal RNA is filed under the name uncultured bacterium. Its description in RNAcentral is "partial 16S ribosomal RNA". It matches the Rfam family "Bacterial small subunit ribosomal RNA", at positions 125 to 353 of the family's 1533-position model. The record is from RNAcentral.